This is a long non-coding RNA of Populus euphratica (Euphrates poplar), 801 nucleotides long. RefSeq lists it as uncharacterized. The record is from RefSeq and is a predicted model, not a curated record. Lineage: Eukaryota; Viridiplantae; Streptophyta; Magnoliopsida; Malpighiales; Salicaceae. The transcript has 2 exons.
UUUUUUUUUUCUGUUCAGCCAGCUAGAAUUAUUUUCAUAAUUUAUAGUACUGCAUCCUUAAAGACAUGUUAUUAUCACCUUUCCUACUGUGGAUAUAAUUGUUUUCUCAUACAUGUGGAAAUCUUUCUUUCGAAAUUGACUUUCUUCAUUGUCUUCGGACUUUAAAUAUACUUUCUCUGUUGUUCUGAAUUCCAAAUGGUGAAACAGUUUCAUGCUUUUUUAAGAAGUGCAUAAAUGAUAAUUAUUUUUGGAUUACAAUGAGAUGGGUUUGAUAAAAAAAAAAAAAAAAUCUUGUUUUUUGAUACUUGCUGAGGAAAAAGAAAAAUAUGGGGCAAAAAUGCUGUUUAUGAUUGUGAUGUAAUGUCAAUUAUUUUUGCUGUGUGACCAUUUUCUUUCAGUUUGUAGAACAACACGAGUUUCUUUCUGGUUUUGAGGUUUUGCUUUGUUUAAUUAAUUUCAUCUCGGUUGAUUAUGACACUUAGAUGCUAACAACCUUUUACUUUUGUUGCAGGUUCAUGAAGGGAGGAACCAUGAGAUUUGAGAACUAGUAAAAAAUGCUGGGCUUGAGAUUCAUGCAUUGAAUAUUACCCACAUUGGUGGUUUCAGACUCCCAUCAGACCUCGGUAAUUACCUCUGAUAUUUUUGCUGUUUUUUAGAACAUUUUUAAGAUUCUCUCUCAUCUUUAUUACUCAAAUCAAAAUUUUCAAAUUGCUAAAAUCAGAAGAAAGAAAAACAGAGCCUGUCUCCCUUGUUAGUUGCAGUAACUUAAGCAGACUCAAUGUAGAUACGGAGAUCAUAGAA